ACUGACUUUGAGUCUCUCCUCAGGGUGCCGUGGGCAAAGCUGGGGACCCAGGAAGAGACGUAAGUGAGGGGAGAUG
Carlito syrichta (Philippine tarsier) is the source of this 76-nucleotide microRNA precursor. Ensembl annotates it as microRNA 711. Its record names the gene MIR711. The record is from Ensembl. Lineage: Eukaryota; Metazoa; Chordata; Mammalia; Primates; Tarsiidae.